GCCGGGGUGCCCGAGUGGUCUAAGGGGCCGGGCUCGAGACCCGGUGUCCCCUCGGGGGGCGCGUGGGUUCGAAUCCCACCCCCGGCG
Molecule: transfer RNA, 87 nt
Filed under: Thermoprotei archaeon
Lineage: Archaea; Thermoproteati; Thermoproteota; Thermoprotei
Description: tRNA-Ser
Rfam family: tRNA
About the family: Transfer RNA (tRNA) molecules are approximately 80 nucleotides in length. Their secondary structure includes four short double-helical elements and three loops (D, anti-codon, and T loops).
Source: RNAcentral